This 253-nucleotide ribosomal RNA is filed under the name uncultured bacterium. RNAcentral's name for it is "partial 16S ribosomal RNA". It matches the Rfam family "Bacterial small subunit ribosomal RNA", at positions 524 to 776 of the family's 1533-position model. The record is from RNAcentral.
UACAGAGGGGGCAAGCGUUGUUCGGAAUUACUGGGCGUAAAGGGCGCGUAGGCGGCCUGCUAAGUCGAACGUGAAAUCCCUGGGCUCAACCCAGGAACUGCGUCCGAUACUGGUUGGCUUGAAUCCGGGAGAGGGAUGUGGAAUUCCAGGUGUAGCGGUGAAAUGCGUAGAUAUCUGGAGGAACACCGGUGGCGAAGGCGACAUCCUGGACCGGCAUUGACGCUGAGGCGCGAAAGCGUGGGGAGCAAACAGG